Molecule: ribosomal RNA, 460 nt
Filed under: uncultured bacterium
Lineage: Bacteria
Description: partial 16S ribosomal RNA
Rfam family: Bacterial small subunit ribosomal RNA
Source: RNAcentral
CCUACGGGAGGCAGCAGUGAGGAAUAUUGGUCAAUGGGCGAGAGCCUGAACCAGCCAAGUCGCGUGAAGGAUGACGGCCCUACGGGUUGUAAACUUCUUUUGUCAGGGAGCAAUUGGGUCCUCGCGUCUGCUUAUCGAUUGUCCCUGAGUAAAAAGCAUCGGCUAACUCCGUGCCAGCAGCCGCGGUAAUACGGAGGAUGCGAGCGUUAUUCGGAUUAAUUGGGUUAAAAGGGUGCGUGGGCGGAAUAUCAAGUCAGCGGUAAAAAUUCGGGGCUCAACCCGGACGUGCCGUUGAAACUGAUGUUCUGGAGUGGGCGAGAGGAAUGCGGAAUGCGUGGUGUAGCGGUGAAAUGCGUAGAUAUCACGCAGAACUCCGGUUGCGAAGGCAGCAUACCGGAGCCCAACUGACGCUGAAGCACGAAAGCGUGGGUAGCGAACAGGAUUAGAUACCCGUGUAGUC